GGAAAAGAAACCAACAGGGAUUACCUCAGUAACGGCGAGUGAAGCGGUAACAGCUCAAAUUUGAAAGCUAGCUCUUUUAGGGUUCGCAUUGUAAUUUGUAGAAGAUGCUUCGGGUGUGGCCCCGGUCUAAGUUCCUUGGAACAGGACGUCAUAGAGGGUGAGAAUCCCGUAUGUGACUGGGUGCUUUCGCUCAUGUGAAGCUCUUUCGACGAGUCGAGUUGUUUGGGAAUGCAGCUCAAAAUGGGUGGUAAAUUUCAUCUAAAGCUAAAUAUUGGCCAGAGACCGAUAGCGCACAAGUAGAGUGAUCGAAAGAUGAAAAGCACUUUGGAAAGAGAGUUAAACAGUACGUGAAAUUGUUGAAAGGGAAGCGCUUGCAACCAGACUUGCGCGCUGAUGAUCAUCCGGGCUUCUGUCCGGUGCACUCGUCUGCGCUCAGGCCAGCAUCGGUUUCGGUGGUGGGAUAAAGGCCUUGGGAAUGUAGCUCCUCUCGGGGAGUGUUAUAGCCCUCGGUGCAAUGCCGCCUAUCGGGACCGAGGACCGCGCUUCGGCUAGGAUGCUGGCGUAAUGGUUGUAAGCGACCCGUCUUGAAACACGGACCAAGGAGUCUAACAUCUAUGCGAGUGUUUGGGUGUCAAACCCAUACGCGUAAUGAAAGUGAACGGAGGUGAGAACCCUUAAGGGUGCAUCAUCGACCGGUCCUGAUGUCUUCGGAUGGAUCUGAGUAAGAGCAUAGCUGUUGGGACCCGAAAGAUGGUGAACUAUGCGUGAAUAGGGUGAAGCCAGAGGAAACUCUGGUGGAGGCUCGCAGCGGUUCUGACGUGCAAAUCGAUCGUCAAAUUUGCGUAUAGGGGCGAAAGACUAAUC
Molecule: ribosomal RNA, 864 nt
Filed under: Oculimacula yallundae
Lineage: Eukaryota; Fungi; Ascomycota; Leotiomycetes; Helotiales; Ploettnerulaceae
Description: partial large subunit ribosomal RNA
Rfam family: Eukaryotic large subunit ribosomal RNA
Source: RNAcentral